RNAcentral lists this ribosomal RNA (460 nucleotides) under uncultured bacterium. RNAcentral describes it as "partial 16S ribosomal RNA". It matches the Rfam family "Bacterial small subunit ribosomal RNA", at positions 338 to 795 of the family's 1533-position model. The record is from RNAcentral.
CCUACGGGAGGCAGCAGUGAGGAAUAUUGGUCAAUGGGCUUACGCCUGAACCAGCCAAGCCGCGUGAGGGAAGACUGCCCUAUGGGUUGUAAACCUCUUUUGUCAGGGAGCAACUCCGGCUACGUGUAGCCGGACUGAGAGUACCUGAAGAAUAAGCAUCGGCUAACUCCGUGCCAGCAGCCGCGGUAAUACGGAGGAUGCGAGCGUUAUUCGGCUUGAUUGGGUUUAAAGGGUGCGUAGGCGGAAUGCCAAGUCAGCGGUAAAAUCGCGGGGCUCAACCUCGCUCCGCCGUUGAAACUGGCGUUCUUGAGUGAGAGAGAAGUAUGCGGAAUGCGUGGUGUAGCGGUGAAAUGCAUAGAUAUAACGAAGAACACCGAUUGCGAAGGCAGCAUACCGGCGCCCAACUGACGCUGAAGCACGAAAGCGUGGGUAUCGAACAGGAUUAGAUACCCCUGUAGUC